CCGAGUUCGGGGUUUCCCCAACUCCCACCCUUGGUUACAAGCAGUUGCUUCGGCGAGACGUUGGAAGCAACCAUCGGCGAUUCAUAAGAUGACCCGAUGCGUGCUCGCCGGACUCCAAAUACUCUGAGAUUAUGUACAGUCAGAUGAAACAAGCAAUUAAUAA
RNAcentral lists this unclassified non-coding RNA (163 nucleotides) under uncultured fungus. RNAcentral's name for it is "sequence contains ITS1, 5.8S rRNA gene". Lineage: Eukaryota; Fungi. The record is from RNAcentral.